GAGGUGAGGGGACGGCGAGAAAGCGGGAAGGUGUGCGGCCCGGCUGUGGGGAGCGGUGGGCGCUGAGGAGAUUUUGCGUGGACGCUCCUCUCCCCCGUUUGUAAUGAACAGCUGUUAAGGAACCAAGCAAACAGCCGUUAUCCUUUUGAUGCUCCCAGUGUGGAAUGCUCUGCAUGUCCCAAGCAUGUUGUCUGCUGUGGUUUCAGCAUUAGAUGGGGGGAGAGUUUCAUUAUACAACAAACCUGGUUUGGUGUUGUUUUUGUUUUGUUUUGUUUUUUUGCUCCUGAACUAAGACAUGAAGGCUUUGGGAUUCCCCACUGCCUUGACAGAAUCAGGCAGGUAAAAGCUGGGAGAAGCAGCAGGAGUGGCUGUACAGAGAGCCCCAAAGAGAGCGUGCAUGGGAGCUUCACACCGCCAUCCAGGACCUGCUUACAGCAUCACGUCAGGAAUGGAUUCUGCUUACCCUGACCCUGACCAGUAGGCUCUGCUUCUGUGCUAACAGCAUUGUUUAAACUUGUGGAAUUUAUUACUGAAAAUAACAGUGGAGCAAUAUCAAAAAGAAUGAAAACAGCUGUACAGUUUUGCACUUGAAAUGGUGGAAGUACCUACGUGAAUUUCCUUGGCUCUUGCACUAAUACUUUUCUGAGGGAACUCAGGCUGAGGUGAAUAGACUUCUGCCUUCUGCUGCUCUGCCAGUGCUCUGCUGGUGCCUGUGGAUGAUACACCCAGCUGGGAAGGUGGGUGACUAGAAGUAGGGCUGCUAGCCUGACAAGAACACAGGUGCUAUGGUUGGCAAGUGUUGCUUCUCUUAUACAUAAAACAACAGUGUUACUUCUGUGUUGUUUUUCUCGGUGGUUUUUGAAAAGCCCCUGAAAAUGUCUCCUCCCACUCCAUGCCCUAGUACUCUGUUGCAAAACCUUGCAUGAAAGGUAGAGUUGAAAACAGAAAUGGCUGAGGUAAGAAUCUUGCAGAAGUAUUUCAGGGCAAUAACAUUUCAGCAUUUAUGAAUCCACCCUGCAGACCACAGCCCAAGUUAUAUCCUCCUCAGUGUAGUGGUUUGUCCACCUUUGGGAUGGGCCCUUGUGGCAGACCCCUGGCUCUGCCAGAGAAGGGAAUGUGGCAUCUUAACUCUGCUGCCAGAGGCAGUGCCUUAUCAUGUCUUUAGUCUUCUGUGUGAAGUGGGCAGUUUUUGAACAGAAAACCUUAUUUUACUGAAAACUAUAGGGGAAAAAAAAAAGGUUGAAGGACCAAGUCACCUUUUACUAAUGGGUCAGCUCAGGGUGUUUGGUAAGGAAGGGAAGCAGGAAGGUGUGGCGAUGAUGCCUUGGACAUUGCUUAUGGCAUAUUCUUCCUAAGUGAAGCUGAUUCAGAUUUGGAAAUGAUUUGACUGCAGGCAGGUAGUUUAGAACAUAAUUUCUACCUAAUUUACUUGUCAAAUUAGAUCAUUAAAAUACCUCAAGUGCUUGUGGCUUGGUAUAAUUUUGUAGUAUUUUUAGGACAAAUUCACCAACGUUUGCUCACAUAAAUCUUGUCCACAUGUUCUCUCCUCCUUGCUGUUCUGGAGCAGGACAACUGAUCUAUGGGCAUGGGGCUGAGAGACACACACAGGGAGGACUGGGAACUCUUUGAAAGUGGUAUUAAUCAAAGGCUGCAGGAGGUGAAGGCAUCACCUGAGACUUUCCUGUGACAUUAAUUGAGAUGCAUUUUUGUGGCUAUGUAACUCUGACACCAUAUUUUUGCACAAACAUUACAUUGCACCUCAUUAGAACUUCAGCAGCCUGCACUAUCCCACAGAAGUCCCACAGAAGCAGAUGUACAUUUUUGUCAUUCCCAAUUAGAGAAGGCACUAAUUGUAAACAUUUUUUACUGAUUGUCCUAUAUAGUAUUGCAGUCUUGUACACUCCUCCUUCCCUGCAGAUCUUCAACUUUGACUCUCUACUAAUUAUCAAAUUAAUGCCGUCAUGAGAGUACAGUGCCAAGCCAGACGAUGGGUGUCCUGUUGCAUAAUGCAGUUUUGGCCAGAGGAGUUUUUAGCAAUAGUGAAGCAGGGCGGGGUAUGGAGGACAUGCUCUGUAAUUGGGGUUCAAAGGUACUUCUCUCUGCUUUGGGUGUGUAGAGGAGAUGUUCAGCUGCAGAAGGCAGAAGUGUCAGGAAGUGUCUCUCUAAACAUUUUGUCACCAGGGAGAAGUGAAGAGGGAAGGCUUUCAGAAGCUGCUCUGAGUUGAAGAUGGAUAUUAAGAGCAUGAAGAACUAUCUUUAUUGGCUGUACUGCCAGUUUGAAUUAAUCACCUGCAGCUAUCUCAUGGAGCCCUGGGAAAAAGUGCUGUUCUACACUUUCAACGUUUCUAUGUUAGUGAUGGUAGCUUACACUGCUUACAUCUUUUUCCCUGUCCAUAUUAGCACGGCUUUUCAAUUCUGCUUGCACUUGUUUGGAAGCCAACAUGAAAAUACUGUUUCUGUUGUGAAGUAACAUUGGCAACCUGACAUAACUUUUGGAUCAAAGAAGUGUUUUUCUCAACACCUUCUGUUUAGAAAGACAGGCUCAGGGUGUGUGCAAACACUGUUUUACUCUCUUCGUUUUCUUCUGUAUUCUGGGACUCUGUGACAGCAAAUUAUUUUGCCAAAUCAAUUUCAGUCAGUCCUCGUUUUUAUCAUUUGACAGUGCCUUUUAAAGAGCUUUCAGUUUUAAAGACUGAGUGGAGUUACAAAGCUGGGUUUGGUAAGGAAGCAACUGUGCUGCAUAUUUUGUUACUCCAGGGAGGACUGUUUGGAUACGGAGAGUUUUCAUCUUGGGAAAUUAUACGGCAUGUAUUUGUUCUUGUCUGCCACAGCUUUGCUGACAGGGAAGAUGUGUACAUGAAAGGUUUUAUACGAUACUAUGCAACUAUAGGCUGCUUCUCUAAGCUUGAUAUGCAUGUAUUUAUACAAUGAUUUUAGUAUUUAUUUAGUUUGACUCCGUUAUUUAAUGCGGUGAAUUAUUUGUCUGGUUCAUCUUUAUGAAAAUAAUACAGUUGAUUUAUUGAAAAUGUGAGGAUUUACUUCCAUAAAUAUUUUAAAUAAAAUUCUGAUUUUCUUGGA
RNA transcript from Gallus gallus (chicken), 3078 nucleotides. It is a transcript of the gene named serine palmitoyltransferase small subunit B-like, with no coding region annotated. Lineage: Eukaryota; Metazoa; Chordata; Aves; Galliformes; Phasianidae. The transcript is spliced from 4 exons. The record is from RefSeq and is a predicted model, not a curated record.